CUGCUGCCUUCCGUAGGAGUUUGGGCCGUGUCUCAGUCCCAAUGUGGCCGGUCACCCUCUCAGGUCGGCUACUGAUCGUCGCUUUGGUGGGCCGUUACCCCGCCAACUGGCUAAUCAGGCGCGGGCCCAUCCCAUACCACCGGAGUUUUUCACACCGGGCCAUGCGGCCCUGUGCGCUUAUGCGGUGUUAGCAGUCAUUUCUAACUGUUAUCCCCCUGUAUGGGGCAGGUUGCCCACGCGUUACUCACCCGUCCGCCACU
RNAcentral lists this ribosomal RNA (260 nucleotides) under uncultured bacterium. Its description in RNAcentral is "partial 16S ribosomal RNA". The record is from RNAcentral.